AUUCACACCAAAACAGUACCUUUUGGGUUCUGGCUAGAAUAAUCAUCCUUCACCACCUGACUAAAUGCUCAUGCACUGAAUGAAGCAUUCUGUGCACCUCAUCAGCUCAUCAUAGUUAUCUCUAAUCAUGUCUUAACCAAAAAGUAGCAGGAAACAGGAGUGUGCUCAUCAAUGUUCAGACGGGAACAUCCACACCCAAAAUUCAACUAGAGAUUAAAACCGAGCUUUCCGUUUUCUAGCAGUAUACUUUGUGUUAGGAGGAACAUUAAUUCCUUUAUUUCUCAUUUGCUCCUUUUUCCUCAGUACCCAUUCUCUGCCCUUCCCUUUCUUGGUUAUUUUUUGCAUUUUCCUAGGUCUCUGCCUGUCUGAAAAGCGAACUGUCUGAUUUUCAUCUUCACUGAUUUCGUCAUCAGAACAACUUUCUUCAUCUUCACCUUUUGCCUUGGGAAUGGCUGUCGUUAUGGAUGGUGGUCCACAAGUGAGGACAAGGUAUUCUUUCCUGCUCUUGGUACUGUGUGGAUAGUCAAUUACCACGCCACCAGCAAAUCCAGCAUGCAUUGCAGAUCUCAAAAUCAGCUCACGCUGGGCUAGAUUUUCAGGAUACACUUGAAAUACUGCUCUAGCUCCCCUUGCCAGGCAUCUAUAUAAUGAUCCAAAGAAAGCCUUCAAUCUCAGUUUUGGCUCAUGGGAGGACUUGUCAGCAUUGCAUAACCACUGAACAGCAGAGAUACUGAUGGCACCAUCAAUAACUCCAGGACGAAGAGCUAAACCCUGCC
RNAcentral lists this unclassified non-coding RNA (776 nucleotides) under Hevea brasiliensis (rubber tree). The record is from RNAcentral. Lineage: Eukaryota; Viridiplantae; Streptophyta; Magnoliopsida; Malpighiales; Euphorbiaceae.